GAAUUUUGGACAAUGGGCGAAAGCCUGAUCCAGCAAUGCCGCGUGCAGGAUGAAGGCCUUCGGGUUGUAAACUUCUUUUGUACGGAACGAAAAGCUUGGGGUUAAUACCCUGGAGUCCUGCCCGUACCUUAAGAAUAAGAGCCGGCUAGCUACGUUCCCGCAGCCGCGGGAAUACGUAGGGUGCAAGCGUUAAUCGGAAUUACUGGGCGUAAAGCGUGCGCAGGCGGUUUUGUAAGACAGAGGUGAAAUCCCCGGGCUCAACCUGGGAACUGCCUUUGUGACUGCAAGGCUAGAGUACGGCAGAGGGGGGUGGAAUUCCGCGUGUAGCAGUGAAAUGCGUAGAUAUGCGGAGGAACACCGAUGGCGAAGGCAACCCCCUGGGCCUGUACUGACGCUCAUGCACGAAAGCGUGGGGAGCAAACAG
Molecule: ribosomal RNA, 424 nt
Filed under: uncultured bacterium
Lineage: Bacteria
Description: partial 16S ribosomal RNA
Rfam family: Bacterial small subunit ribosomal RNA
Source: RNAcentral